This 87-nucleotide transfer RNA is filed under the name Sulfurimonadaceae bacterium. Its description in RNAcentral is "tRNA-Leu". It matches the Rfam family "tRNA". Rfam says of the family: Transfer RNA (tRNA) molecules are approximately 80 nucleotides in length. Their secondary structure includes four short double-helical elements and three loops (D, anti-codon, and T loops). Further hydrogen bonds mediate the characteristic L-shaped molecular structure. tRNAs have two regions of fundamental functional importance: the anti-codon, which is responsible for specific mRNA codon recognition, and the 3' end, to which the tRNAs corresponding amino acid is attached (by aminoacyl-tRNA synthetases). tRNAs cope with the degeneracy of the genetic code in two manners: having more than one tRNA (with a specific anti-codon) for a particular amino acid; and 'wobble' base-pairing, i.e. permitting non-standard base-pairing at the 3rd anti-codon position. Lineage: Bacteria; Pseudomonadati; Campylobacterota; Epsilonproteobacteria; Campylobacterales; Sulfurimonadaceae. The record is from RNAcentral.
GCCCGGAUGGCGAAAUUGGUAGACGCAAGGGACUUAAAAUCCCUCGGUGGCAACACUGUACCGGUUCAAGUCCGGUUCCGGGCACCA